GCUCCGGUGGCGUAGUGGUCAAAGUGUCCGCCUCGGAUGAAGUAGGUCGCGGGUUCGAACCCCGGCUGAGUCA
Non-coding RNA from Potamilus streckersoni, 73 nucleotides. The record is from the annotation of a GenBank genome assembly. NCBI's taxonomy places the organism in Eukaryota, Metazoa, Mollusca, Bivalvia, Unionida, Unionidae.